AUUGAACGCUGGCGGCAGGCCUAACACAUGCAAGUCGAGCGGCAGCGGGAAGUAGUUUACUACUUUGCCGGCGAGCGGCGGACGGGUGAGUAAUGUCUGGGGAUCUGCCUGAUGGAGGGGGAUAACUACUGGAAACGGUAGCUAAUACCGCAUGACCUCGCAAGAGCAAAGUGGGGGACCUUAGGGCCUCACGCCAUCGGAUGAACCCAGAUGGGAUUAGCUAGUAGGUGGGGUAAUGGCUCACCUAGGCGACGAUCCCUAGCUGGUCUGAGAGGAUGACCAGCCACACUGGAACUGAGACACGGUCCAGACUCCUACGG
This 320-nucleotide ribosomal RNA is filed under the name Yersinia pestis biovar Antiqua str. B42003004. Its description in RNAcentral is "SSU rRNA". It matches the Rfam family "Bacterial small subunit ribosomal RNA", at positions 30 to 344 of the family's 1533-position model. The record is from RNAcentral. Lineage: Bacteria; Pseudomonadati; Pseudomonadota; Gammaproteobacteria; Enterobacterales; Yersiniaceae.